RNAcentral lists this ribosomal RNA (464 nucleotides) under uncultured bacterium. Its description in RNAcentral is "bacterial SSU rRNA". It matches the Rfam family "Bacterial small subunit ribosomal RNA", at positions 29 to 506 of the family's 1533-position model. The record is from RNAcentral.
AUGAACGCUGGCGGCGUGCUUAACACAUGCAAGUCGAGCGGUGAAAGAGAGCUUGCUCUCUGGAUCAGUGGCGAACGGGUGAGUAACACGUGAGCAACCUGCCCCGGACUCUGGGAUAACAGUUGGAAACAGCUGCUAAUACUGGAUACGAGCUGCGAAGGCAUCUUCAGCAGCUGGAAAGAACUUCGGUCUGGGAUGGGCUCGCGGCCUAUCAGCUAGUUGGUGAGGUAACGGCCCACCAAGGCGUCGACGGGUAGCCGGCCUGGGAGGGUGACCGGCCACACUGGGACUGAGACACGGCCCAGACUCCUACGGGAGGCAGCAGUGGGGAAUAUUGCACAAUGGGCGAAAGCCUGAUGCAGCAACGCCGCGUGAGGGACGACGGCCUUCGGGUUGUAAACCUCUUUUAGCAGGGAAGAAGCGAAAGUGACGGUACCUGCAGAGAAAGCGCCGGCUAACUACGU